GAUGAAGAACGUAGCGAAAUGCGAUAAGUAAUGUGAAUUGCAGAAUUCAGUGAAUCAUCGAAUCUUUGAACGCACAUUGCGCCCGCCAGUAUUCUGGCGGGCAUGCCUGUUCGAGCGUCAUUUCAACCAUCAAGCCCCCGGCUUGUGUUGGGGACCUGCGGCUGCCGCAGGCCCUGAAAAGCAGUGGCGGGCUCGCUGUCACACCGAGCGUAGUAGCAUACAUCUCGCUCUGGGCGUGCUGCGGGUUCCGGCCGUUAAACCACCUUCAUAACCCAAGGUUGACCUCGCAUCAGGUAGGAAGACCCGCUGAACUUAAGCAUAUCAAUAAGCGGAGGA
This 336-nucleotide unclassified non-coding RNA is filed under the name soil metagenome. RNAcentral describes it as "partial contains 5.8S ribosomal RNA, internal transcribed spacer 2, and large subunit ribosomal RNA". The stretch from base 1 to 120 matches the Rfam family "5.8S ribosomal RNA", at positions 35 to 154 of the family's 154-position model. The record is from RNAcentral.